This 379-nucleotide ribosomal RNA is filed under the name uncultured Vitreochlamys. Its description in RNAcentral is "SSU rRNA". It matches the Rfam family "Eukaryotic small subunit ribosomal RNA", at positions 585 to 972 of the family's 1831-position model. Lineage: Eukaryota; Viridiplantae; Chlorophyta; Chlorophyceae; Chlamydomonadales; Chlamydomonadaceae. The record is from RNAcentral.
CCAGCUCCAAUAGCGUAUAUUUAAGUUGUUGCAGUUAAAAAGCUCGUAGUUGGAUUUCGGGUGGGGUGGUGCGGUCCGCCUUUGGUGUGCACUGCUCCGCUCCACCUUCCUGCCGGGGACGGGCUCCUGGGCUUCACUGUCUGGGACUCGGAGUCGGCGAUGUUACCUUGAGCAAAUUAGAGUGUUCAAAGCAAGCCAAAGCUCUGAAUACAUUAGCAUGGAAUAACACGAUAGGACUCUGGCCUAUCUGUUGGUCUGUGGGACCGGAGUAAUGAUUAAGAGGGACAGUCGGGGGCAUUCGUAUUCCAUUGUCAGAGGUGAAAUUCUUGGAUUUAUGGAAGACGAACAUCUGCGAAAGCAUUUGCCAAGGAUGUUUUCA